AUGUUGGUGCAAAAGUAAUUGUGGAUUUUGCUAUUACUUGUAUUUAUUUGUAAUGCAAAACCCGCAAUUAGUUUUGCACCAACC
This is a microRNA precursor of Homo sapiens (human), 84 nucleotides long. The record is from Ensembl. Lineage: Eukaryota; Metazoa; Chordata; Mammalia; Primates; Hominidae.